GCGGCGUGCUUACACAUGCAGUCGAACGAUGAUGCCCAGCUUGCUGGGCGGAUUAGUGGCGAACGGGUGAGUAAUACGUGAGUAACCUGCCCUUGACUCUGGGAUAAGCCUGGGAAACUGGGUCUAAUACUGGAUACUACCUCUUGCCGCAUGGUGGGUGGUGGAAAGGGUUUUACUGGUUUUGGAUGGGCUCACGGCCUAUCAGCUUGUUGGUGGGGUAAUGGCUCACCAAGGCGACGACGGGUAGCCGGCCUGAGAGGGUGACCGGCCACACUGGGACUGAGACACGGCCCAGACUCCUACGGGAGGCAGCAGUGGGGAAUAUUGCACAAUGGGCGGAAGCCUGAUGCAGCGACGCCGCGUGAGGGAUGACGGCCUUCGGGUUGUAAACCUCUUUCAGUAGGGAAGAAGCGAGAGUGACGGUACCUGCAGAAGAAGCGCCGGCUAACUACGUGCCAGCAGCCGCGGUAAUACGUAGGGCGCAAGCGUUGUCCGGAAUUAUUGGGCGUAAAGAGCUCGUAGGCGGUUUGUCGCGUCUGCUGUGAAAGCCCGGGGCUCAACCCCGGGUCUGCAGUGGGUACGGGCAGACUAGAGUGCAGUAGGGGAGACUGGAAUUCCUGGUGUAGCGGUGAAAUGCGCAGAUAUCAGGAGGAACACCGAUGGCGAAGGCAGGUCUCUGGGCUGUUACUGACGCUGAGGAGCGAAAGCAUGGGGAGCGAACAGGAUUAGAUACCCUGGUAGUCCAUGCCGUAAACGUUGGGCACUAGGUGUGGGGGACAUUCCACGUUUUCCGCGCCGUAGCUAACGCAUUAAGUGCCCCGCCUGGGGAGUACGGCCGCAAGGCUAAAACUCAAAGGAAUUGACGGGGGCCCGCACAAGCGGCGGAGCAUGCGGAUUAAUUCGAUGCAACGCGAAGAACCUUACCAAGGCUUGACAUUCACCGGACCGCCCCAGAGAUGGGGUUUCCCUUCGGGGCUGGUGGACAGGUGGUGCAUGGUUGUCGUCAGCUCGUGUCGUGAGAUGUUGGGUUAAGUCCCGCAACGAGCGCAACCCUCGUUCUAUGUUGCCAGCACGUGAUGGUGGGGACUCAUAGGAGACUGCCGGGG
Molecule: ribosomal RNA, 1106 nt
Filed under: Kocuria rosea
Lineage: Bacteria; Bacillati; Actinomycetota; Actinomycetes; Micrococcales; Micrococcaceae
Description: bacterial SSU rRNA
Rfam family: Bacterial small subunit ribosomal RNA
Source: RNAcentral